GACGAACCGAGCGAACGUUAUUCGGAAUCACUGGGCUUAAAGGGCGCGUAGGCGGGCGAUCAAGUCAGGGGUGAAAGCCCCCAGCUCAACUGGGGAAGUGCCUCUGAUACUGGUCAUCUCGAGGGAGGUAGGGGCGUGCGGAACUUCCGGUGGAGCGGUGAAAUGCGUAGAUGUCUGGAGGAACACCGGUGGCGAAGGCGGCAUCCUGGACCGGCAUUGACGCUGAGGAGCGAAAGCCAGGGGAGCAAACGGG
RNAcentral lists this ribosomal RNA (253 nucleotides) under uncultured bacterium. Its description in RNAcentral is "partial 16S ribosomal RNA". It matches the Rfam family "Bacterial small subunit ribosomal RNA", at positions 524 to 776 of the family's 1533-position model. The record is from RNAcentral.